Cygnus olor (mute swan) is the source of this 780-nucleotide long non-coding RNA. RefSeq lists it as uncharacterized. The transcript is spliced from 3 exons. NCBI's taxonomy places the organism in Eukaryota, Metazoa, Chordata, Aves, Anseriformes, Anatidae. The record is from RefSeq and is a predicted model, not a curated record.
UGUACAAGGCUGGCAGCGCAUUGCUCUAUAAUCUGACCCUGGAGCUUUUAUGUCGUUUUGUUACCAGCUGCAGUCACCUGUUCGGUUACCACCCCAUGACGGGGCACAUUAUAAUACUGCAGUAUUGAUGCUGUCCAGGUUUGGUCACCUCCCUGUGGAUAAAGACCCGAGUAACCUUGCCUGCUCACCCUGCCUUGAGCAGCAGUUGGAUCCGGGGACAUUCCAAGCUGCCUUCCACCCUGAGUCUUCUCUGUGACCCCUUUCAGGAAGAAAAAACAUCAUGGCAGUAGAUGUUUUAACUAUGGGUGGCUUGGUUUGUUAGAAAUAUCUGAAGUAAACUACUGCUAAGGAACAAAACGAGGAGAAAAGAAGAAUCUCCCCGAACUGCUGUUAGUGGUGAGAAAAAUCACAGGCUGAAUCUUUAGCCUGAAGGCAUGGCCAGGAGGCCUUAGAAAGCUGCCCAAUAUAGUGUACAUUUCAGACGUAUUACAGCAAUUUCCAAGUGUUCCCGUUGCUGCAGUAAGAUUUGGAAAGAUGUAGCUCUCGGGUCCACACCCUCGUCAUUUAAAUAAACAUGCCUGCCGCUUUGGGUGGUUGGCAAUUGAACAAACAGUUGCUUUUUGAACAGCGUGAAUGAAUUUCCUAUGGUGGCAUUUCUGCAGGGCUAAGUUUAUUUAGUUGUUGGCUUAUUUGGUGACCUGAAACACGAAACCUUUGCUUAAGUCCUUAAUCACCCAGAUUGGACUCCCAGCCCUCCCUCCUUUCCCAGAGGCAGUAUGC